RNAcentral lists this ribosomal RNA (244 nucleotides) under uncultured Staphylococcus sp. RNAcentral's name for it is "partial 16S ribosomal RNA". It matches the Rfam family "Bacterial small subunit ribosomal RNA", at positions 96 to 334 of the family's 1533-position model. Lineage: Bacteria; Bacillati; Bacillota; Bacilli; Caryophanales; Staphylococcaceae. The record is from RNAcentral.
CGGCGGACGGGUGAGUAACACGUGGAUAACCUACCUAUAAGACUGGGAUAACUUCGGGAAACCGGAGCUAAUACCGGAUAAUAUAUUGAACCGCAUGGUUCAAUAGCGAAAGACGGUUUUGCUGUCACUUAUAGAUGGAUCCGCGCCGCAUUAGCUAGUUGGUAAGGUAACGGCUUACCAAGGCAACGAUGCGUAGCCGACCUGAGAGGGUGAUCGGCCACACUGGAACUGAGACACGGUCCAG